AUUGAACGCUGGCGGCAGGCCUCACACAUGCAAGUCGAGCGGAUGAAGGUAGCUUGCUCCUGGAUUCAGCGGCGGACGGGUGAGUAAUGCCUAGGAAUCUGCCUGGUAGUGGGGGAUAACGUCCGGAAACGGGCGCUAAUACCGCAUACGUCCUGAGGGAGAAAGUGGGGGAUCUUCGGACCUCACGCUAUCAGAUGAGCCUAGGUCGGAUUAGCUAGUUGGUGGGGUAAAGGCCUACCAAGGCGACGAUCCGUAACUGGUCUGAGAGGAUGAUCAGUCACACUGGAACUGAGACACGGUCCAGACUCCUACGGGAGGCAGCAGUGGGGAAUAUUGGACAAUGGGCGAAAGCCUGAUCCAGCCAUGCCGCGUGUGUGAAGAAGGUCUUCGGAUUGUAAAGCACUUUAAGUUGGGAGGAAGGGCAGUAAGUUAAUACCUUGCUGUUUUGACGUUACCAACAGAAUAAGCACCGGCUAACUUCGUG
This 484-nucleotide ribosomal RNA is filed under the name uncultured bacterium. RNAcentral's name for it is "partial 16S ribosomal RNA". It matches the Rfam family "Bacterial small subunit ribosomal RNA", at positions 30 to 507 of the family's 1533-position model. The record is from RNAcentral.